GUUUGUAUCUUGAAGGACAGCUGAUGAUAUUGGAACGAGACAAAGAAGAUUAGAAUAAUCACUGCACAUGCAUGACAUACAUAAAUCUAGACAUAGUCUUAAUUAUG
This is a small nuclear RNA of Salvia splendens (bonfire salvia), 107 nucleotides long. The record is from RefSeq and is a predicted model, not a curated record. NCBI's taxonomy places the organism in Eukaryota, Viridiplantae, Streptophyta, Magnoliopsida, Lamiales, Lamiaceae.